Long non-coding RNA from Sciurus carolinensis (gray squirrel), 726 nucleotides. RefSeq lists it as uncharacterized. The record is from RefSeq and is a predicted model, not a curated record. The transcript has 3 exons. Lineage: Eukaryota; Metazoa; Chordata; Mammalia; Rodentia; Sciuridae.
GGGGCGCGCGGGCGCGGCACUCACGUCCUCUUGAAGACGCCCCCGAGGGCGCUGCCCAGCAGGAGGCAGAGCUGCUGCGAGAAGAAGACCCAGGAGAUCUGGGGCAGGGAGCUGUGCGUCUGGCAGCGCAGGUCCAGCAGCGUGGGCCCCAGGAAGGCGAUGCACAGGCCGAAGCUGAAGAAGACGCUCCAGUAGGCUCCAGACAGGUGUGCAGUGCACGUGGGAAGCCCCAUGGCAACAGCUGGGGCUGGCCAAGUUACCAUCUAGACCAAGCUGCAGAGCCAGGAGCUUGUGGGCUCUACACAGGACCAAGUUCAAGUUCUCUGGCCACCAGAAGAUCCACAACUCGGAAGUGGAGUUUUACCAAGUUUACUGCAGAUGAACUCAAAGACAUGGUGGCCAAGAGGCAGCUCAUCCCAGAUUGCUGUGAGGUCUGAUGCAUCCCAAUCAUGGUCUCCUGGACAAGUGGCAGGUCCUGCACUCACAAAGAAUGAAGGUCGUUCUCCUGAGAUGGGAGAAUGAAGCAAGUGAGAAUUUCAUCAUCAUCAUAAACACCUCUAUCUUUCGGAAAAUGGAAGGUUCCAGAGCCCGAGGGGCUCCUUCUUCCUCUGCUCGGCUAUAAUGAGACAAGAAAAAUAAUAGGAACUGCUAUAGUUGUGUGUUAUGUAGUAAUAAUAAGCUGUAUUUGGUAUUUGCCUGGACUUGUAAAACUAAAAUCAUAAAACG